This 293-nucleotide ribosomal RNA is filed under the name uncultured bacterium. RNAcentral describes it as "partial 16S ribosomal RNA". It matches the Rfam family "Archaeal small subunit ribosomal RNA", at positions 455 to 747 of the family's 1478-position model. The record is from RNAcentral.
GUGCCAGCAGCCGCGGUAAUACCGGCAGCCCGAGUGAUGGCCGAUCUUAUUGGGCCUAAAGCGUCCGUAGCUGGCCGACCAAGUCUCCCGGGAAAUCCACCCGCCCAACGGGUGGGCGUCCGGUAGAAACUGGCCGGCUUGGAACCGGAAGGCUCGAGAGGUACGUCCGGGGUAGGAGUGAAAUCCCGUAAUCCCGAACGGACCACCGAUGGCGAAAGCAUCUCGAGAAAACGGAUCCGACAGUGAGGGACGAAAGCUAGGGUCUCGAACCGGAUUAGAAACCCCGGUAGUCC